UGUAGCAAGAGAAGCGCUUAUACGAUACUAUUUAUAAUUUGAUAUUGGAAAGAAAUUUGUUAAACGCUGCUUUAGAUUUGAACAUCACGACUAAUAUAGCUUUGAUUUAUUGCAUUUGUGUACAAAACUGCUAUUCAUUUAGACUGUAAAAUUAUUUAAAUUUUACCUGACUGAAACUUGAUGCCACACUCUUUUCUAGGAGACACUACUACCGCUACUCUCCUACGGUGCCCUAAAUGGGUGUAACUUCUACCGCUACCUUCGUACGGUGCCCUAAAUGAGAGUCUUUAUGGAUCCUUUGUUGGAUUAAGCAUUGGCUAAUCCUGAGAUGGUCAAGUUUAUCAAUAAGGACCAACUGGAGACGUUCCAUGGUACUGGUGGAGUGCGUAUUGAGGAUGAUGUUUUGAUUACUGAAGAUGGAUGUGUCAACUGGACUAAAGUUCCAAGAACUGUCCAAGAAAGUGAAGAUUGGAUUGCCGGUGUUGAUGAUGAUUCCAAACACGAUUGAAUGAAUUUACACCAUCUUGAAGCUGUUAUUGUUAUAAUUUUUGUUUAUUUUCUUAAAAGUUGUUAAAAAGGCAUUAUAUAAUUGCAUAUUAUUAUCCUGUUUUCUUGCUUGUAUUGUUGAAAAUAUUGAGAAAUUGAGUUUGGGAUUGUGUAUAUUCUACAUGUUUGAAUAAAAUUGUAGUUUUAUAUUUUUGACUAUAAA
Dalotia coriaria is the source of this 709-nucleotide long non-coding RNA. RefSeq lists it as uncharacterized. The record is from RefSeq and is a predicted model, not a curated record. The transcript is spliced from 3 exons. NCBI's taxonomy places the organism in Eukaryota, Metazoa, Arthropoda, Insecta, Coleoptera, Staphylinidae.